Molecule: long non-coding RNA, 471 nt
Filed under: Equus asinus (donkey)
Lineage: Eukaryota; Metazoa; Chordata; Mammalia; Perissodactyla; Equidae
Description: lncRNA (ENSEASG00005023770.1)
Source: RNAcentral
GCCGCCCGCGCUCCCCGCGCUCCCCGGAAGCGUCCUGCCGCCGCCGGCCGGCCGCGCCACAGGGGAACGGCGCCCGUCUACGCUUCCAUGGUCGCUUCCCCUGCGCGGAGCGCUGGGCCAUCGCCAGCUUUCCGGGGUUGACCCGGCCUUUGGGCGAGAGGGAGGAGGGCUCAGAUGGCGUUUUAUUCAAAUAUGAAGGCAUCAGGAUGAGGAGGAGCUGGCAGACGAAAAAGAGGGGAAGAACAUGUGAAAAUACUUGGAGGAAGGAGAAAGAGCAUGGCAUGUGCUAGGAUUAACACUACAGACAAUUCAGAUCCUGGGCUCCUGGGAAUCCUAUUAAAACACACCAGAUGGGAUGCCAUGAGAAGAAAAGUCACCAAAGGAGGAUUGUGGGAUAAGCAUGCAACAAAAGAUAUCCACACAGCACCUAGGGAUGCCUGAGAGACCCACGCUGCUAUACAGUGGAAGGUG